AUACUACUUCCUCCGUCCAACAAAGGAUGUCUCAACUUUGACUAAAUUUGAAUGCAUCUAUACACUAAGUCAAUAGAUACAUUCAAAUUUUGACAAACUUGAGACAUCUUUUGUUGUCCGGAGGGAGUAGUAU
This is a non-coding RNA of Brachypodium distachyon (stiff brome), 133 nucleotides long. Lineage: Eukaryota; Viridiplantae; Streptophyta; Magnoliopsida; Poales; Poaceae. The record is from Rfam.